AACGCCCAACAAUUUACUUGGUCCGAACGCUUUGAGGAUUGACAGUUAUUGUUUAGUUCUGAUAUGGGUGGUAUUUGUAGUCAACGUGUAGGUAGUUGUAUAUUAAAUAUGAAAGUUCUUUUAUGAUUAUGUGAUAGGUGGUGCAUGGCCGUCCUUAAUUCGUGGAGUGAUUUGUCUGCUUAAUUGCGCAUUGCAAAUUGUAAUUGAUCUUUUACCAGUCUCGUUCUGAUUUAUGUUGUGAAUAUUGUAAAUAUUGUUGUCGUCGAGUCAUUAUUGCCACUACGUCUGGUCCUUUGGGCAGAAUAG
Molecule: ribosomal RNA, 306 nt
Filed under: Turborotalita quinqueloba
Lineage: Eukaryota; Foraminifera; Rotaliida; Globigerinidae
Description: partial 18S ribosomal RNA
Source: RNAcentral